CCUACGGGAGGCAGCAGUGAGGAAUAUUGGUCAAUGGGCGCGAGCCUGAACCAGCCAAGUCGCGUGAAGGAUGACUGCCCUACGGGUUGUAACCUUCUUUUAUAAAGGAAUAAAGUGAGGCACGUGUGCCUUUUUGUAUGUCCUUUAUGAAUAAGGAUCGGCUAACUCCGUGCCAGCAGCCGCGGUAAUACGGAGGGUCCGAGUGUUAUCCGGAUUUAUUGGGUUUAAAGGGAGCGUAGAUGGGUUGUUAAGUCAGUUGUGAAAGUUUGCGGCUCAACCGUAAAAUUGCAAUUGAUACUGGCAGUCUUGAGUACAGUUGAGGUAGGCGGAAUUCGUGGUGUAGCGGUGAAAUGCUUAGAGAUCACGAAGAACUCCGAUUGCGAAGGCAGCUUACUAAACUGCCACUGACAUUGAUGCUCGAAAGUGUGGGUAUCAAACAGGAGUAGAUACCCUAGUAGUC
RNAcentral lists this ribosomal RNA (460 nucleotides) under uncultured bacterium. RNAcentral's name for it is "partial 16S ribosomal RNA". It matches the Rfam family "Bacterial small subunit ribosomal RNA", at positions 338 to 795 of the family's 1533-position model. The record is from RNAcentral.